CUCCUACGGGAGGCAGCAGUGAGGAAUAUUGCACAAUGGGGGCAACCCUGAUGCAGCAACGCCGCGUGAGUGAUGAAGCAGUUUAUCUGUGUAAAGCUCUGUUGGGAGGGACGAAAUGAUUGGUUAGUUGCCGAUUUUGACGGUACCUCCUGAGGAAGCUCCGGCUAACUCCGUGCCAGCAGCCGCGGUAAUACGGGGGGAGCGAGCGUUGUCCGGAUUUAUUGGGCGUAAAGGGCAUGUAGGUGGUCUUUUAAGUCAGUUGUUAAACUUAUCGGCUUAACCGGUACUUGCAAUUGAUACUGGGGGACUUGAAUUUGAGAGGGGAUAGUGGAAUAUCAAGUGUAGCGGUGGAAUGCGUAGAUAUUUGAUAGAACACCUGAGGUGCAGACGACUAUCUGGCUCAUGAUUGACACUGAGAUGCGAAAGUAUGGGGAGCAAACAGGAUUAGAUACCCUGGUAGUCCAUACCGUAAACGAUGGGAACUAGGUGUCUGGGGACUAACCCCCUGGGCGCCGUAGCUAACGCGUUAAGUUCCCCGCCUGGGGAGUACGAUCGCAAGGUUGAAACUCAAAGGAAUUGACGGGGGCCCGCACAAGCGGUGGAGCAUGUGGUUUAAUUCGAU
This 622-nucleotide ribosomal RNA is filed under the name uncultured bacterium. RNAcentral describes it as "bacterial SSU rRNA". It matches the Rfam family "Bacterial small subunit ribosomal RNA", at positions 336 to 955 of the family's 1533-position model. The record is from RNAcentral.